GAUGAACGCUGGCGGCGUGCUUAACACAUGCAAGUCGAACGAAGCGUCCCGCCCGAUGAAAUGGAGAGCUUGCUCAAAGUAGAUUCAAUUGGGACGACUUAGUGGCGGACGGGUGAGUAACGCGUGGGAAACCUGCCCUAUACAGGGGGAUAACAGCCGGAAACGGCUGCUAAUACCGCAUAAGCGCACGGUGCCGCAUGGCGCAGUGUGAAAAGCUCCGACGGUAUAGGAUGGUCCCGCGUCUGAUUAGCCAGUUGGCGGGGUAACGGCCCACCAAAGCGACGAUCAGUAGCCGACCUGAGAGGGCGACCGGCCACAUUGGGACUGAGACACGGCCCAAACUCC
This 345-nucleotide ribosomal RNA is filed under the name uncultured Lachnospiraceae bacterium. RNAcentral describes it as "bacterial SSU rRNA". It matches the Rfam family "Bacterial small subunit ribosomal RNA", at positions 28 to 339 of the family's 1533-position model. The record is from RNAcentral. Lineage: Bacteria; Bacillati; Bacillota; Clostridia; Lachnospirales; Lachnospiraceae.